UACGUAGGGUGCAAGCAUUAAUCGGAAUUACUGGGCGUAAAGCGUGCGCAGGCGGCUUUGCAAGACAGAUGUGAAAUCCCCGGGCUUAACCUGGGAACUGCAUUUGUGACUGCAUGGCUCGAGUGCGGCAGAGGGGGAUGGAAUUCCGCGUGUAGCAGUGAAAUGCGUAGAUAUGCGGAGGAACACCGAUGGCGAAGGCAAUCCCCUGGGCCUGCACUGACGCUCAUGCACGAAAGCGUGGGGAGCAAACAGG
RNAcentral lists this ribosomal RNA (253 nucleotides) under uncultured bacterium. Its description in RNAcentral is "partial 16S ribosomal RNA". It matches the Rfam family "Bacterial small subunit ribosomal RNA", at positions 524 to 776 of the family's 1533-position model. The record is from RNAcentral.